RNAcentral lists this ribosomal RNA (517 nucleotides) under uncultured bacterium. RNAcentral describes it as "bacterial SSU rRNA". It matches the Rfam family "Bacterial small subunit ribosomal RNA", at positions 48 to 551 of the family's 1533-position model. The record is from RNAcentral.
UUUUAGCAUGCAGUCGUACGGUAUGGGGUUUCUUCGGAAGCCCUUGAGAGUGGCGGACGGGUGAGUAACACGUAGGUGAUCUACCCUUGGAUGGGGGAUAGUCCAUGGAAACAUGGGGUAAUACCGCAUAAAGCCUUUAGUCUGCGGAUUAGGGGUUAAAGGUGCUAUUGUGCUGUCUGAGGAUGAGCCUGCGGUCCAUUAGUUAGUUGGUGGGGUAAAGGCCUACCAAGGCGAUGAUGGAUAGCCGGCCUGAGAGGGUGUACGGUCACACUGGGACUGAGACACGGCCCAGACUCCUACGGGAGGCAGCAGCUAAGAAUCUUCCGCAAUGGGCGAAAGCCUGACGGAGCGACGCCGCGUGAACGAUGAAGGCCGAGAGGUUGUAAAGUUCUUUUGCAGGUGAAGAAUAAUGAGGGGAGUGGAAUGCCCUUCAGAUGACGUUAGCCUGCGAAUAAGCCCCGGCCAAUUACGUGCCAGCAGCCGCGGUAACACGUAAGGGGCGAGCGUUGUUCGGAAU